AUCCAUCCCGUGCAUUGGGUUGGAUGCAUCGUUUUCUUCGCUCGUUCUGUUUUGUCAGAUCUCUGACACUCAUCCUCUAGACUAGACUAGCCAGGGUCCUUUUUGUUAACUGUAUAAGUUGAUUUUUUUUUGGCCUUAUUUUGUAGAGUAAAACUUGUCAGCGGAAGUUCAGCUUCAUGCAUCGACUUUGUAACGAUAUAUAUUAAUUGUUCAAGUGAGCGUUAAGUAGCAUAAAAUGGUCUGAUUCUGUUUCGGCAGGAUUUUGUAUCACAUUGCAAGUUUGCAGGUUUUUUUCUUGAUAACUUUGCAAGUAUGCAGUUUAAUCCUUGCUAGGCUGAACUUCUCGCGACUGCUGAGUUGAUGUAUUAAACUGAAC
RNAcentral lists this long non-coding RNA (376 nucleotides) under Hordeum vulgare. Its description in RNAcentral is "long non-coding RNA (HVUL_LNC020907)". The record is from RNAcentral. Lineage: Eukaryota; Viridiplantae; Streptophyta; Magnoliopsida; Poales; Poaceae.